RNAcentral lists this ribosomal RNA (454 nucleotides) under uncultured bacterium. RNAcentral describes it as "partial 16S ribosomal RNA". It matches the Rfam family "Bacterial small subunit ribosomal RNA", at positions 28 to 507 of the family's 1533-position model. The record is from RNAcentral.
GAUGAACGCUGACAGAAUGCUUAACACAUGCAAGUCAACUUGAACUUCGGUUUGGGUGGCGGACGGGUGAGUAACGCGUAAAGAACUUGCCUCACAGCUAGGGACAACAUUUGGAAACGAAUGCUAAUACCUGAUAUUAUGAUUUUAGGGCAUCCUAGAAUUAUGAAAGCUAUAUGCGCUGUGAGAGAGCUUUGCGUCCCAUUAGCUAGUUGGAGAGGUAACGGCUCACCAAGGCGAUGAUGGGUAGCCGGCCUGAGAGGGUGAACGGCCACAAGGGGACUGAGACACGGCCCUUACUCCUACGGGAGGCAGCAGUGGGGAAUAUUGGACAAUGGACCAAGAGUCUGAUGCAGCAAUUCUGUGUGCACGAUGAAGUUUUUCGGAAUGUAAAGUGCUUUCAGUUGGGAAGAAAAAAAUGACGGUACCAACAGAAGAGGUGACGGCUAAAUACGUG